RNAcentral lists this ribosomal RNA (410 nucleotides) under uncultured Rhodobacterales bacterium. RNAcentral's name for it is "bacterial SSU rRNA". It matches the Rfam family "Bacterial small subunit ribosomal RNA", at positions 24 to 480 of the family's 1533-position model. The record is from RNAcentral. Lineage: Bacteria; Pseudomonadati; Pseudomonadota; Alphaproteobacteria; Rhodobacterales.
UCAGAACGAACACUGGCGGCAGGCCUUAUACAUGCAAGUCGAGCGCAUCCUUCGGGAUGAGCGGCGGACGGGUGAGUAACGCGUGGGAAUGUGCCCUUCUCUACGGAAUAGCCACUGGAAACGGUGAGUAAUACCGUAUACGCCCUCAGGGGGAAAGAUUUAUCGGAGAAGGAUCAGCCCGCGUUAGAUUAGGUAGUUGGUGGGGUAACGGCCUACCAAGCCUACGAUCUAUAGCUGGUUUUAGAGGAUGAUCAGCCACACUGGGACUGAGACACGGCCCAGACUCCUACGGGAGGCAGCAGUAGGGAAUCUUGGACAAUGGGGGCAACCCUGAUCCAGCCAUGCCGCGUGAGUGAAGAAGGCCCUAGGGUCGUAAAGCUCUUUCCCCUGUGAUGAUAAUGACAGUAGCA